ACGUCAUCAUCAAGUGUGUCGUUAUAACAAAACUGAAGAAUCUUCCUUUCCAACUUAUGUCAUCUAGUCACAUCUAGUGUGUGAAAGAUUUUUGUCAAUUAGAAAAUUCACGCUGUUUUCAUUACUCGCAAAAUUUCUUGCAAGGAUUGUUCAUGGAGCCUUUGAAUAAAAUUUAUUAGACUGCUGACGGUAACGCUCUCAUGACAAAAUGGAAUGUGAUUUUCUUUUAAUUUUCAAAUAUCUAACCUGACAAUGGAGUACUUAGGCGAAGCAGUUGCUCUCGGUAUUGACAGUAUAAUAUUUGGAAUUUGUUUAAGACAAUAUUUUCAUUGCAAAAAUGCUAUCGCGGCUGUUAAGGCUGCUGAGUUUCACGAAGUCGGAGAAAAUCUCAAUACAUUAGUCAAUAACAGCCCAGAUAAUCGAGUGGGAUAUGUAGCGAUAAGAGGAGCUGUGAAACCAUUGGGUAAACCACUUUAUAGUAUGACAGACAAAAGAUCGACUGGAGUCAUUCAAAAACUUAGUGUCAAAGAACAUGUUGUUGCUAGAACAACAGCUGGGUUUUGGUCAGACCAAGAACGCACAAUGCAAGAAGUGUACAACAGUGUUCCAUUUGCUUUACAACAAGGAGGCUAUCAAGUAGAAGUGGUAGAUCCAAUGGCAGCUGAUAUAUUAGACUUGGACACAAUUUCUGAUUAUUUUGAGCCAUGUAUUCCAACCAUUGCAGAUCAUAUAUGGGGUUUUUUUACAGGUGUUCGACAACGCGGCCUUCAAUCCACAGAAGAAAUGCUUCGCGACGGUGCAAUAGUUACCGGAAUUGGUGAAUUGUCAAAAUCUGUAACUAAACCUGGUUCAUUAAGCUUACAACCUCCACUUUCUGGAACACCAUUUUACCUCACAACAAUGUCUGUUGGAUCAUUAAUCAGAAAUCUAGAUGACAAGAAAAGAACUUAUAGAUGGCUAUGUCUAAUGUUUGGUGCCAUCGGAAUUUUGAUAGGCGGAAUAAUGGCUCGACGUUAUUGGAAAGAUCAGGAACAGCAACGACACUUAGAUGAAUUACGUCAAUCACUAGAUGCUUCACGAAAAGAACGAAGACGUAGAGUACGGGAUAAAGAUUUAAGAGAAGAUCAACUAUGCGUUGUAUGUCGAUCAAAUCCUCGAGAAAUAAUUCUGCUACCUUGUGGCCAUGUUUGUUUAUGCGAGGAUUGUUCGGAUGACAUAAUCGACGAUUGUCCCGUAUGUCGGACAGGAAUCCGACAGAAAUCAGCAGCGUACUUCGUUUGAUUAAAACAUACCGAUGUACAACGUUGUAACCGAGCAAUGUCUCCUCUCAACACAUUCAUUAAAACAGUCUCUGCGAUAUCGUCAGCAUUGUGCCCAGUUGCAAUGCAAUCCACUCCUAAAAGUGCUGCACCUCUGUCAAGGGCUUGCCUUCGGAAGACACCACAGAAUGUACAAUUAUUCUUUCUACCUAUCUGAGAAAUGUGUCAACAGUUAAGACUAUGAUUUCCAGUAAUGGGCCUAACAUGAGCGUCUUUUCGAAAUGCGAUUGUGGAAAAGGCAUUUACUUUAAGUAUUGCGUUGUUCCCACAUUUAGCGGAGCAUAACACGGGCAUUUUCACGGAUUUUGCCUCUCCGAGAAAAUACCUAUUUCAUGUAGUGGUGGUAACCUAUCAACUAGUAUAAACGCAUUUGCUGAUGUUUGACACUAAAUCAGAGGAAGCCAGUGAAAGCAUAAAUGGCAGUGAUGCUCAGAAAAAUUGUGAUAGGGGCAAAUUUAAGUCGAUAUCGUAGAAAGGUACGGAAUUUCCAUAAAUGAUGGCGACCGUAAGCUUGGAAGGACGUCCGUCUACAGGCAGCACUGUCACUCAUUACGUCAGACCAUAAUGACGUAAUAUGGUUAAUUGCUUCUACUUUCCCAAGUCUGCCUUUAUGAAAAAGCCAAAUCAAAUCCAAAGAAAACACACGAUGCGUGAUGCAUCGGCUCACGGAAUCAUAAAAAUAUGAUUGCCAGAACGGUCUACCAUCGUUGUUGACGUUCAUUUUUACAACGUAAACCACGGUACUUAAUCAUUGCGGCGUUGGAUCAACACGAUGCGAAGAAUCGUGAUCAUUGACUUGUAUACAAGUCUGGGCACUUUACGCAUUUCACGUUUUCCAAGCGUAACCCUAAUGACUGAAAGUUUCUACUUUUAGCCGCAACGCUAAUCUCGGAGAAGCCUACUGCAUUUCACUCUAAUGGCACAUGGAGUCACCUGUAAUAAGUUAAUAGGACACUUUUAAUUUUUAAAGUUUUUUUUAGUACUAAUUGUUUGGUAGUCGUUUGGUGGUGAUUGGUAGUCUAAUUAAAAGGUUUGGUAGUUAAUAGUUCUUCUCGGAUAUUAAAAAUAAAUUUCAGCGAUAAGUUA
Molecule: RNA transcript, 2405 nt
Organism: Cephus cinctus (wheat stem sawfly)
Lineage: Eukaryota; Metazoa; Arthropoda; Insecta; Hymenoptera; Cephidae
Gene: Mul1
Gene name: mitochondrial E3 ubiquitin protein ligase 1
Exons: 8
Source: RefSeq, a predicted model, not a curated record